GAUGAACGCUGGCGGCGUGCUUAACACAUGCAAGUCGAACGGAAAGGCCCAAGCUUGCUUGGGUACUCGAGUGGCGAACGGGUGAGUAACACGUGGGUGAUCUGCCCUGCACUUCGGGAUAAGCCUGGGAAACUGGGUCUAAUACCGGAUAGGACCACAUUUUGGAUGGUGUGGUGGAAAGUUUUUCGGUGUGGGAUGAGCUCGCGGCCUAUCAGCUUGUUGGUGGGGUAAUGGCCUACCAAGGCGUCGACGGGUAGCCGGCCUGAGAGGGUGUACGGCCACAUUGGGACUGAGAUACGGCCCAGACUCCUACGGGAGGCAGGAGGGGGGAAUAUUGCACAAUGGGCGCAAGCCUGAUGCAGCGACGCCGCGUGGGGGAUGACGGCCUUCGGGUUGUAAACUCCUUUCGCUAGGGACGAAGCGCAAGUGACGGUACCUGGAGAAGAAGCACCGGCUAACUACGUG
RNAcentral lists this ribosomal RNA (465 nucleotides) under uncultured bacterium. RNAcentral describes it as "partial 16S ribosomal RNA". It matches the Rfam family "Bacterial small subunit ribosomal RNA", at positions 28 to 507 of the family's 1533-position model. The record is from RNAcentral.